AGUACGUGAAACUGCUUAGAGGUUAAGCCCGAUGAACCUGAAUAUCCAUUAUGGAAAAUUCAAUAUUAAGAAUAUAAUAUUUAACUAUAUUGUAUGAAUAGUAUGCAAUUUUUCCAUAUAAGGACAUUGUAAUCUGUUAAUGUCUUAAAUGUUUAUCAAAAGAUCUUUUACUUAAGUUUAUUUAAAUUGUUUAUCUUCGGAUAUUCAACAUAAAAUAAAUGUUUAAGAUUUGUUAAACCAUUGACAGAUAUAAUUAUAUAAAAUGCUCAAAUUCUUCGGAAUUUUACAAUUAUAAGUGGAUCUAUUGAUUUAUUUAUGAUUGCAUGCAUUUUUAUGAUUAACAAUGCGAUAGAUUCAGGAUACCUUCGGGACCCGUCUUGAAACACGGACCAAGGAGUCUAACAUAUGUGCAAGUCAUUGGGUAUUUUUAAUAAAACCCAAUGGCGUAAUUAACUUAACUGAUUAAUAAUGGGAUUAAUUUAUAUUUUGUUAUGAUUUAUUUAUUCAAUCCCGGGGCGUUCUAUACAGUUAUGCAUAAUGAUAUUUAUAUUAUUUAUGCCUCUAACUAGAGC
Molecule: ribosomal RNA, 572 nt
Filed under: Allograpta kinabalensis
Lineage: Eukaryota; Metazoa; Arthropoda; Insecta; Diptera; Syrphidae
Also listed under: 1 other name
Description: partial large subunit ribosomal RNA
Source: RNAcentral